UCACCAGACUCCUACGGGAGGCAGCAGUGGGGAAUAUUGCACAAUGGGGGGAACCCUGAUGCAGCGACGCCGCGUGAGUGAAGAAGUCUUUCGGUAUGUAAAGCUCUAUCAGCAGGGAAGAAAAUGACGGUACCUGACUAAGAAGCCCCGGCUAACUACGUGCCAGCAGCCGCGGUAAUACGUAGGGGGCAAGCGUUAUCCAGAUUUACUGGGUGUAAAGGGAGCGUAGACGGCAGAGCAAGUCUGAAGUGAAAGCCCGCGGCCCAACUGCGGGACUGCUUUGGAAACUGCCCGGCUAGAGUGCUGGAGAGGUAAGCGGAAUUCCUAGUGUAGCGGUGAAAUGCGUAGAUAUCUGGAGGAACAUCAGUGGCGAAGGCGACUAUCUGGCACAUAACUGACGCUGAGGAGCGAAAGCGUGGGUAGCAAACAGGAUUAGAUACCCGCGUAGC
RNAcentral lists this ribosomal RNA (449 nucleotides) under uncultured bacterium. RNAcentral describes it as "bacterial SSU rRNA". It matches the Rfam family "Bacterial small subunit ribosomal RNA", at positions 328 to 794 of the family's 1533-position model. The record is from RNAcentral.